ACGGUACUCCCUCCGUCCGGAAAUACUUGUUGGAGAAAUGGAUGUAACUAGACGUAUUUUGGUUCUAGAUACAUCCAUUUUUAUCCAUUUAUGCGACAAGUAAUUUCGGACGAAGAGUAGUAUUUU
Molecule: non-coding RNA, 126 nt
Organism: Hordeum vulgare subsp. vulgare (domesticated barley)
Lineage: Eukaryota; Viridiplantae; Streptophyta; Magnoliopsida; Poales; Poaceae
Source: Rfam